Molecule: long non-coding RNA, 385 nt
Filed under: Homo sapiens (human)
Lineage: Eukaryota; Metazoa; Chordata; Mammalia; Primates; Hominidae
Description: non-protein coding lnc-CDC37-1:1
Source: RNAcentral
AGCUGCAGGUGGGGGAGGGGGCCUCAGAGGGAGUGUGAAGGCAGACAUUGGGUCUGGGGGGUCUUUGGGGCUGACGGUAGCAAAUGACGUGACUCCUGACCUCGUUUCUCACCUGAUCCAGGUAUCACUCCUCCUUGCUUCAAUCUCUUUGCCCUCUUCGAUGCUCAGGCCCAAGUCUGGUUGCCCCCAAACCACAUCCUAGAGAUCCCCAGAGAUGCAAGCCUGAUGCUAUAUUUCCGCAUAAGGUUUUAUUUCCGGAACUGGCAUGGCAUGAAUCCUCGGGAACCGGCUGUGUACCGUUGUGGGCCCCCAGGAACCGAGGCAUCCUCAGAUCAGACAGCACAGGGGAUGCAACUCCUGGACCCAGCCUCAUUUGAGUACCUCU